GGGAGGCUCUGCUGACUAAUUCGGUCCAAGCAGAGCUUCCUGCCCAUCUCCUAGGAUCCUCUGCUUGGCCUGCACCUACUCAGAAGCCUUCAAGAUACAAAGCUCUUUGAAAGCAGAUCUCAUUGAAUCUUUCCAUCAAUGUGAGAGGGUGCCACAGUGACUCAGGACUUGGAUGCAAGCCUCCCUAAAUCUCCCUGCCUUAAAUGUCAUGGUGACGCUCACCCUGGAUUCCAUGACAACAGCCUCUUCUCUCAGAGUGAUGCAGCCACCCUUGUGGCUGUUCAGCAUACAACAGAAUCCAGAGAAGGGACUUCCCUGGCCGUCCAGUGAUUUGGACUCCGCGCUUCCAUUCCAGGGGGCACAGAUUCGAUCCCGUCAAGGAACUAAGAUCCUGCGUACUAUACGGUGCAGCCAAAAGAGAAGUAGAAGAAAAUCCAAAGAAGAUAAGGGCCUUACCUGCACAUAGCCUCACCACCAAAAUGCCCCUUCCCUGCCAUUCUGAAGGAACUGGAGUCAGGCAUAAAAGCACGUUUCUGCAAGGGCCUAUGGGGAUUUUCCAGAAAGACUCCAUUCAGCUGGAGAAUUCCAUUCCUGGCCCUGCCACCCAGGGCUCAGGCUAAGGAGAGAUGCUCCGGCUCAUUCCGGUUCUGCCCAGUUCUUGCUCCUUGCCUGCCAAACCCACAUCAGGGUGUCCCACACUGUAAUCUCUUGCUGUUUUCUGUGGAGUGUGAGGUGCCUGAGGAUCCAAGGGGUCCCUCAGAGGCCUGACACAGAACAGUGAGGGGCCCUCUCCUGACCCCCCUCCCCAUCCCUUCCUGGGCCCUCCCUUUCCUUCACCCAGCAUGUUUUAGCAUUUUCCCUGGAGCCAGCCCCUGCCCUCAGGGUCACCCUGGAUGAACACGGACAAACCAAUACAAUGGACACUGAUUUGGGGCACAGAUGGCACCUGACACAGCUUGGGGGUGGGUAUGACAAAGGCAGCUGGAGAGGGGAAGUGGAGCCAGCUUGCGACAACUGCCUGGACAGAAGCUCAGAGCUUUGGGAUGUACUGUUACGUUUCCGAGAAACUGGAGAACAGGUCUGAGGGAGUCAGAUGGACACUGAGGUCCAAAUAGGAGCUGAACUGAACUCAUGCAUUGUAUCUACUUAGCUGGAGUUGGACCCCAAUUCCCUUCCCACUCCAGCCUCUCCCCUCCACAGCUACCCCCACAAAGGUUUUCCCUGGGUUUAGCCAGAAACAGGAGGCGUCUUCUCAGAAGUCCCAGCUGGCAAAUAGGAAUCUCAAGACAUAACAGAGCAUUAGACCUGGGCCCCGGGGGCACCCAACUCAACACAUCACAAGGGAUAUUCCACCUCUGGGAUAUUCCUGCACCCAUGAAAUGCAUUUUCUGCUCACAAAGACUCCUGGGGAGCAACACUCAGAUCUGCUGGGAGCAAAGCACUUGCAGGGUCCCAGCUGGGUUCUGGGGACCCCCAGACCCAUUCUGCCAUUAUAUUACAAUUUCAGCCCAGCACCUGCACUCUGUCCAGCUUCAGCCACGUCUCUGCCCCUCGUGAGGGGGAACGUGUUCCCCCUCCACCCGUACGCUGGUGCCAAGGUUUAUGAUCCGGCACAGAAGACACUGAGAGCCACACGGGUGGAAAAAGUUACCCGGUUCUAAAUCAGCCAGUCUUUGGA
Molecule: long non-coding RNA, 1678 nt
Organism: Bos taurus (domestic cattle)
Lineage: Eukaryota; Metazoa; Chordata; Mammalia; Artiodactyla; Bovidae
Source: Ensembl